Molecule: unclassified non-coding RNA, 1746 nt
Filed under: Hevea brasiliensis (rubber tree)
Lineage: Eukaryota; Viridiplantae; Streptophyta; Magnoliopsida; Malpighiales; Euphorbiaceae
Source: RNAcentral
AAAUCCUGCCAGAAACACCGCUGCCCUCUUUCUUCUCCGCUCAAUCCAUCUCAUCCUAAACCAAAUCCACCACCACUGCUGUCAUCCCCUCCUCUUUCGACGCCCACAGCCACCGCCGUAAACCUCACAACGCCACAACCCCUUGUUCUUUUAGAAAUUCCGAAAAUCCCAUUGCGCCACCGCCCCAAAUCCUGCCAGAAACACCGCUGCCCUCUACAGUCACGAGAAAUUUCUAGUAAUAAGGAAAAAAUUUAGCCACAUGUAACUGGUAAACCUAGCUCAAUUCGUUGUCUACCUUUCCUUUUCUGGGUUUUCUCCAGUUGCAUACAUGGCUGCACCAUCCCCAGCCCUAACUAGUAACAGCUCUGACGCCGUUCAUACUGCCGCCCCCGCCACCACCACCACCACCACGGCCGCCGCCAUUGUGCCUUCGCACCGUACGGACGGGCCACCGAAGACACUCCGUGGUCUUAACAAACCCAAGUGUAUUCAGUGCGGCAAUGUCGCUCGCUCCAGGUGUCCCUACCAGUCAUGCAAAAGUUGCUGCUCAAAAGCUCAAAAUCCAUGCCAUAUUCACGUUUUGAAAGCAAAUGCGACUUUUCCAGAGAAGGCACCGGCUUCAAGCACUACUCUUUUUGAUCAUCAGUCAACUGAAGCGUCUCCUGCAUCGAGUUCACUAAGGGUUGCAUCACUUCGACAACUUUCUAACAAUUUUUCUCAAUUCAACAAUUUGCAUGCUUCCCGAUCAAGGAAGCCAUUAACCAGAAAGGAAGCUGCAGCUAUAAAUGAAUGGAGGUUUUCCAAGCUAAAGGAAUACAGGGAAAGAAACAUUGAAGUCGAAAAUGAAGCUUUUGGCCGGUACAUGCAGAAUAUUAACUUAUUGGAGGAGGUAUUUUCUGUGAAGUCUAUUUUAGAGAGCUCCGAAAAAGGAUCCACAGAGGACACUUCCGUUUCAUCGAAUCCCAACAAUGCUUCUGCAGAAGUUGACACAGAAAAGUUGAUGGCAGGGCAGAAGUUGAAGCUUAGGUCGAGUCCUACAAAAAGUGAGAAUGUUCGAAAAAGGAUACAAGAAAUUGUUGAUGCGGGUUUAAAGAAGCUUCAGAAACGUGAGUUUAAUGAUGGUGUUAACCUGAAUGGUGAUGAUGAGCUUGAUAAAAGGUCAGAAAAGGCAAAAAGUUUGCGGGCUGACAGGGCUUCAGCUUUAAAUGAUCUUAUUGAGAAAUUGAACAAAGCCCGAAAUGAAGAGGAUCUAACAUCUUGCCUGGACAUGAAAGCCCAGCUGUACAGUCACCAUGGUCAAACAGAAACCAGAGAUGUGGAGGUAUCCAUUGAAGGGAGUGCCAUUAAUAACUUGGCACCUACAAAAGAAUUGGAUUAUCUUUCGCAAAAAUUGUUUAGAACGGUGGAAAUUGAUCAGGAAUCUCUCAACAGCGUUAGUGCACAUUUCUCUUCCCUACAAAAAAUAGCAAAUUUAUGAUAUGUGAUUGGAUAUCCCAUAGAUAAUGUGAGUUUAGAUCAAGUUUAACUAGAAUAUUUUGAGUUUGUGCUAGAAUACUGUGAUCCAACCUCAUUACUAUCAUCCUUCGAUGCAAUCAACCCAUUGUAGAAUGCUUAAUUUGAAAAUUGUCCCCAAUUUCUUCAUCCUUAAACUGUGAUUGCUCAGUUCAAUGUGAAAAGGCUAUGGCAUGGUUUGUUUCUAUUUUGUUGUAAAAUUGAUCAAUCUCAAUAUUUGUUACAUGUUUCCUA